RNAcentral lists this ribosomal RNA (120 nucleotides) under Danio rerio (zebrafish). The record is from RNAcentral. Lineage: Eukaryota; Metazoa; Chordata; Actinopteri; Cypriniformes; Danionidae.
AGCCACAGCCAAAUCACCCUGCAGCCCAAGACCGGUUACUCACUGAAGUUAAGCAGGGCUGAGCCUAGUCAGUACCUGGAUGGGAGACCACAUGGGAAAAAUAUGUUUUUAUUUUAGCUU